CAGUCGCCACGGGAAAACGAGGGGGGCGAGCGUUGCUCGGAAUGACUGGGCGUAAAGGGCGCGCAGGCGGCGAUCAAAGUCAGGCGUGAAAUUCCUGGGCUCAACCUGGGGGCUGCGCUUGAUACUGGGUUGCUUGAGUGGGGAAGAGGGUCGUGGAAUUCCCAGUGUAGAGGUGAAAUUCGUAGAUAUUGGGAAGAACACCGGUGGCGAAGGCGGCGACCUGGUCCUUUACUGACGCUGAGGUGCGAAAGCGUGGGGAGCAAACAGGAUUAGAUACCCCCGUAGUCCCUGUCUCUUAUAC
Molecule: ribosomal RNA, 301 nt
Filed under: uncultured bacterium
Lineage: Bacteria
Description: partial 16S ribosomal RNA
Rfam family: Bacterial small subunit ribosomal RNA
Source: RNAcentral